UGGGGAAUCUUGCACAAUGGGGGAAACCCUGAUGCAGCAAUGCCGCGUGAGUGAAGAAGCCCUUUGGGUUGUAAANCUCUUUCGUCGGGGAAGAAAAUGACUGUACCCGAAUAAGAAAGUCCGGCUAACUUC
This 132-nucleotide ribosomal RNA is filed under the name uncultured bacterium. Its description in RNAcentral is "partial 16S ribosomal RNA". It matches the Rfam family "Bacterial small subunit ribosomal RNA", at positions 355 to 504 of the family's 1533-position model. The record is from RNAcentral.